UGAUGUUGGAGAAAAUAGUGCAGAAUAUAGUGUCACAACUACAGGGAAAAUGCAGAUUUAAAAAGUGCAAUGGCCA
Molecule: long non-coding RNA, 76 nt
Organism: Amblyraja radiata (thorny skate)
Lineage: Eukaryota; Metazoa; Chordata; Chondrichthyes; Rajiformes; Rajidae
Exons: 3
Source: RefSeq, a predicted model, not a curated record